GCGCGGUUAGCUCAGCGGGAGAGCGCUUCCCUGACACGGAAGAGGUCGCUGGUUCAAUCCCAGUACCGCGCACCA
RNAcentral lists this transfer RNA (75 nucleotides) under Mycobacterium nonchromogenicum. RNAcentral describes it as "Mycolicibacter nonchromogenicus tRNA-Val". It matches the Rfam family "tRNA". From Rfam's summary of the family: Transfer RNA (tRNA) molecules are approximately 80 nucleotides in length. Their secondary structure includes four short double-helical elements and three loops (D, anti-codon, and T loops). Lineage: Bacteria; Bacillati; Actinomycetota; Actinomycetes; Mycobacteriales; Mycobacteriaceae. RNAcentral also lists the same sequence under 63 other names. The record is from RNAcentral.